This 1121-nucleotide long non-coding RNA is filed under the name Solanum tuberosum (potato). RNAcentral's name for it is "long non-coding RNA (STUB_LNC000570)". Lineage: Eukaryota; Viridiplantae; Streptophyta; Magnoliopsida; Solanales; Solanaceae. The record is from RNAcentral.
GCGUCGUCAUAAGCCAAAUGGUCAUACUAAAAUCCAAUAUCUAGAGGAAUGUGAGAUGGACGACUGCGUCUUACUCUCAUUCUAGUUAGUUUGUACAAAUCCAAACACAAAUAGGAGCAAUCAAAAAAUAUAAAUGUUAAAUACUAAUAUGUAAAACGUUAGCCGAAGUAACCGCGCAUAUAUGUAUAUAUAUAAAAAAAUGUAAAGCUUUGAACUAAAAAAGGAAGCGUUGACAGUAUUGAUGAGAUGAGGGUUGCUAGACACGAGCAAAUAAUGUAGGCUAUUAGUCGCUUCUCUGAAAUGGACAGAGAUGGAGUCAUAUACUAACUCCAAACGCGCUCUCGAGUGUACAUGUGACAAACAAAGUAGAAAUAGAAUUAGCGACUGAAUUUUAGGUUCAUCAAAGACAUGUAAAAUAAGUAUUAUGUAGUUGUAGGCAUACUGUAAAUAUACUCAAAAAAAAAAAAAAACCACAACAACAUAAUACUAUUCUCGCAAUUCCUUGACGACAUUUAAGUAAUUAGUAUACCAAAGACUUUAAUCAAUCUAGAGAGAAACAUCACAAGAAGAGUCGAGGGAGGAGGUGAACACUUAUAUUAUUUUAUGAUCUUGGUAUACAAUUAAAGGAAGAGCCACUGGAAAGCUAAUCAAUCAAAUUAUUUUGGAUAGUAAAGUACUAUCUUAACUAUAAAGUCGUAAAAUAAGGACUGAAGAGAGAUCAUCUUUAACUGAUCACUAAAAAUCAAUCCACAAUACUACUAGAUUAAAACUAGUCACUCGAGAACUCUUUGGAUUAGUUCUUGUAGAAUAAUAAAAUCAUCCCCUCCAAAUGGAGGAUAUGUAUAAACCAAAAUUUUCACAUAUAUUGAAUGAAGGAUUACGUUUCGGUUAACUAUGUCAAAUGACUAGACAUUUAUCCAUACUCUUAUAUUUUCCAGAUCUUCAAACAGGGAGGGGGAUGGAAGAUUAGGAAGAACUGAUCUUGAUAGAUCGAAAUGGCUCAUUCAGACUUAGAAAAUGAUUAUUUAGGCAAAGUUUUGAUAAAAAAAAUAUAAUCUGAAACAUACUAUGGAGUUGACGUCAAAGAUAUAAAAUUAAGUGUGGUAAAGAGCUGGAAAAAU